GACGAACGCUGGCGGCGUGCUUAACACAUGCAAGUCGAACGGAAAGGCCCUGCUUUUGUGGGGUGCUCGAGUGGCGAACGGGUGAGUAACACGUGAGUAACCUGCCCUUGACUUUGGGAUAACUUCAGGAAACUGGGGCUAAUACCGGAUAGGAGCUCCUGCUGCAUGGUGGGGGUUGGAAAGUUUCGGCGGUUGGGGAUGGACUCGCGGCUUAUCAGCUUGUUGGUGGGGUAGUGGCUUACCAAGGCUUUGACGGGUAGCCGGCCUGAGAGGGUGACCGGCCACAUUGGGACUGAGAUACGGCCCAGACUCCGACGGGAGGCAGCAGUGGGGAAUAUUGCACAAUGGGCGGAAGCCGGAUGCAGCAACGCCGCGUGCGGGAUGACGGCCUUCGGGUUGUAAACCGCUUUCGCCUGUGACGAAGCGUGAGUGACGGUAAUGGGUAAAGAAGCACCGGCUAACUACGU
RNAcentral lists this ribosomal RNA (467 nucleotides) under uncultured bacterium. Its description in RNAcentral is "partial 16S ribosomal RNA". It matches the Rfam family "Bacterial small subunit ribosomal RNA", at positions 28 to 506 of the family's 1533-position model. The record is from RNAcentral.